Molecule: long non-coding RNA, 6704 nt
Filed under: Equus caballus (horse)
Lineage: Eukaryota; Metazoa; Chordata; Mammalia; Perissodactyla; Equidae
Description: lncRNA (ENSECAG00000051013.1)
Source: RNAcentral
GCUUUCGAAUGAUGUGCCCACCCAUUGCACUUCCUUCGUGUUUUGCUGUGAGUGAAUCAUGGCAAGAAGGAUGCCAUAUGAGCACUCCACUCACUUCAUUUGUGGAUCUAAGAAAUAGGCUCAAGUGUGUCAGAGGGUGAUAGAACUGAGCUUAUUCAGUUGAAUGAGUCCAUCAGAGGGUAUUAUGGGUUGAAUUGUGUCCCCCCAAAAUUCAUAUGUUGAGAUCCUAACCCCUAGUAUCUCAGAAUGUGACUGUAUUUGGAGAGAGGGUCUUUACAGGGAAUCAAGCUAGAAUGAAGUCUUUACGAUGGGUCCUAGUCCAAUAUGACUGAGUCUUUAUAAGAUGAGGAGAUUAGGACACAGACAUAAACAGAGAGAAGACCAUGUGGGGACACAGAGAGGAACUGGCCAUCUACAAGCCGAGGAGAGGGGCCUCAAAAGAAACCAACUCUGCCUACGCCUUGACCUCAGACUUCUAGCCUCCAGAACUGUGAAACAACACAUUUCUGUUGCUUAAGCCACCCACUUUGUGGUACUUUGUUACAGCAACCUCAGCAAACCAGUACAGAGGGGGGACAGGUUCAUACAGGUGAAGUGAGCUUUUCGAGGUUCUGUGUCCACCAAUGGAGCUCCAGGCCCACGCCCCAAAGAUCCUUCCUCCUGGUUCAGUCCUCAUCCCACUUCGUGAUGUGAUACAGCAUUUGUUAUAAAAAAGAUCCCACUAGGCUACUUCACCUAUGAAUUCGAUUUAAUUGGCAUCUCAAUUGUGGUGUCAAUUCUUUUGCCAUUUCCUGCAACACCGAGGGAGAAUUUUUCUAAGCUAAUUUUUUUUAGCUGCAAAGAUGACAAAUGUUAUCAAUGAUAUCCAACCAGAGUAUAUUUUCAUCCCUUUUCUUCCCGUCAAGAUAAGCCAGAGUGUUUGUUGCCAGAAAUGGAAAACAGCUUGCUCAUCAGCCAGAUGAUCGCAGUGCUCAAAAGUUCCACUCGUUUGCCAUGUGUGAAAUGUUAAGAAUUGAAAACAGACAGGCUUACUCUGCUUAAACUGUGGGCUCCGUGAAGCAAGAAAAAGAGAUAUUUGGAUACUAGAAAAAAGAGUUGCGGAAAUGGUUUUGACGGCAAAGUGAACAGGGUCUUUUCAAGUAGCUCUGAGGUGGGACACCCAGGUUGAUUUGCUAGUGGCUAUGGCUAUUCAUCAAUUGGAUGAAAGAUGGAGCCUAAAGGUACCAAACUCUGGUGGCUACCUCUGUGUUCUAGGACAAAUUCCAAUGUCCUACACAAAUGUGGCCCUUGGGACUUCUACUGCAUUAUCUGAAAUGAAAAUUUCUACGCAUUUCAGUUAGACUUCUUCCCGAUUAUCCGGAUCAAAAUAUCUCCAUGAGUUCGUAGUACAAGUCAGAAAUAUGCAGUGGACCUGAGGCUUCUUUAGAAACAGCGAGGCUUCAGAUAAUAGGCUUGAAUUGUUCCAUUAUUUUUCCACUCAUGAGGAAAUAAGGGGUGUUUGUUGAAUUUUUGUGAGAUUGAAUUAAAUUACCCAGUUAUCAAUCCAUUAUUAUGUUAGAAUAAUGUGUGUUUGCUGAGUGAUUUCUGGUCAUUUUUAUUAGUCUCUCUUUGCAACUACUUAAGGGACUUUUUGACAAUUGCGAGAGCCGUUUUAAGAAACAGAAACACAGGCUUACAGAGGUUAAACGAUUAACUCAACAUUGACCAAAAAAAAAUAAAAAAAAAACCUUGAAGAAAAAUCAGAAUUCACACUCAGGGCUCUAAUUACCAUUCUGUAGGUUUCUGGAAGCUCACAUAAUCACUUUACGCUUUAUUUAUGUCUUGGAAAUCAUUUGCAUUUCAACAUUUAGAUUUCCUCCUGUACUUGAUUCUCAAGGUCUUGGACGUUAACUCGAACUCAAGGAUUUGGCUACCUAAGUGGAAAAAAAAACACCUGCCCUGAUUCUUCUUUGUUAAGACGAGCUCAAAAUAGGGCAAAAUCAGUAAGUUCUCAGGGAAAGACAAUGCUGCAUUGAGUUCCACUUCCUAUGGGUAAAUUCAUGACCGCCAAUUUGUCUUAAGGGGGGUUGUUUUUAGCAGCAGGGAAUUCUGGCUGGCUGGAGAGCAGACAAGGAAAGGAGGAGGGGGGAGAAGAGAGACGAACUUUCAGGUGCACAUAGAACGCGCAGCUUUCAGCCCACUUUCUCCUUCCUUGUUUGAGUCAGCUCCAUGGUACCCCACCCACUGCUGGCCUUUCUCUGGGGCUCAGGUUUUGAGCUGACUGAGUGCUCAGCAGUUGGCCGCAACUCUUCUUCCGAUGAAAGGACAAAUCAGAAGGUACCUAUUACAAGUCUGUGAGCAGAGAAACAAAGGCCCGGCUGCUGACACCCUCCCACUAACUUGGGUUUUAAUGAUGCUGUUGCCUCAUUUAUGAUUAUGGAUGAUGAUCCAAUGUCCUCCAUCCAUGUCCAAAUUCUGGGACGCCAAGAAGAGAAGACUGCCUACGAAUUCCUUGAUUAUGAAAAGGAUGUACGCUGGGAAUUCAACUCACUCCUUCACCAGCUCCUGUGACCUCUCUUUCCCACAAUCAUACAGGAAGAGUGACUGCCAUCUCUCUCUCGGGUAACUCUGCCUUGAAAAAGAGGGACAGUCUAAGACCCGUGUGAUCAAGCUGUUCAAUCUCUGCUUGUCUGGCAGCAGUUUCAAAGGAAGGAUACCUGGAAGAGAAAUCCGUGGCCCCAGGAAGCCGAGACGUGGAAGCGGGAUGUCAGUGACAGCUAUUUCAAGCUACUGAGAAAUUGCAGAAGGAAGAAGAAAAUGCCCCUCCCUCUUCCUUCAUCGCAUCAAGUAAAACAAACUGGACAAGAUGCUCUGUCUGUUCAGAUGAUGUGAGUGAGAAGCACCUGUCACAGAAGACAUGAAUUGAGUGAGAUCUUAAAAGGUUGCUCAUGGGGCAGAGAAAGAGAACAAAGAAGCUGGACUAGCACCAGCAAAGGGAGGGAAAGAUGAGCCUACACUGAGCGAUGAGAGAGGGCCGGUGCUGAGACCAUCAGGCAAGUGAAAGGGGUUGGAGAAGAGCAAACUAGAAGUUAUAUGGGUACCUCUGACUCCUUUGACCUCAGGAGACCCUGACAACCAAAACAUCAUUCCCCGUGGUGACAAGAUACUCGAAAACCACAAAGAAAUUGGAACUGGGGCCAUGUCAAGGCCACUCCCUUUUCAGACUUCUAGACUCCAGAACUGUGAGACAAUAAAUUUCUAUCAUUCAAGCAACCUAAUCUGUGGUACUUUAUUACAGCAGCGCUAGCAAUGAAUAGUCGGCUGGUGCUAGUGGCCUCUUCUUUCCUUCAAGGGAGGGUGGAGAAGAGAAGACAAGGAUUCUUGAGAUUCUGCAAAGCAAGGUGGGUUUCUUCUGGUAUAAUACCUGGAAACCCCAAUGGCAUUUACAUGGAUGAAACAACUGGCCUAUAUCUCAGCUGAUUCAGUGGUUUCUGUCGUCUUAACAAGCAGUGUUCAUUGGCCCAUAAUAGUUGUGCAUUUGCUACAUCAUCAGUUGGAAACUGGCCAAAUAAUCUGGUAGACGAGUGUCAUGGCCAAUUCCGUUCCUGUCUGCAGAAAAACACCAGCGAGCUAGGAUGAGACAUAGUGAGUGAGAACUGUGUUGAAAGUCUUUCUUGAGGUUCCUGUAAGUUCUUUUAAUGCUGGGCUCUCUGUAUCUGCAGCCACAGUCAAUUCUAACAUUGAGGAUUGAGAAGGAUCUAAAGCUUGGACUAAAAAAGUUGCCUAAGAUGCUCUUUCUUUACUGGUCUGAAUGGAACCUCUUCAUUGGAUUUCCAUCCAUCUGAAGUGGACAAACUGUUAGGAAGAGAGCAAGCGCUGAUAUUUCCUUUAUUAUUAAGUGAUUCUUUGAGAGUGUUAUUUUUCUUUCCUUCCUUUUUCUUUCCUCCUAAAAACAUGUAGAAAAUAUGAAUGCUAAUUAGGAUACAAUUAUCCUAAUAGUGGAUCAGUUUACUGGAUGUGUGAAAUUGACGCUCCCCAUAGGAAUGAUCUGGCAACAGUAUAAUAAACUAUUUGUAAGAGAAGUAUUAAAAAGGGAAGAAGAGUGAGCCAACAUAUGAAUUAGAGAAUACACACAAAUGUGUGCACGUACACACUGAAUUUGGACAUAGCCUAUCCCCUCUGUUGCUUACGCAUUCAUUGAAGCCUUCACCUUUUCUGUGGCUGCUUGUCUAAGCACGUGUCUUACAUUCAACAUCUUCUCUAGGUCUCAGGUACAAUGGUGUGUUUCCAGUCUCUUCUACUCGGUCAAUUCUCACAACGCUUGAGAUCUUGAUAGGGCUAUUGGAACAGUCAGUCAAAGUAAUAGAAAAGGGAGAAAGUGUUACAUAGGAAGCAAAAGCAAAAAGAUGUGCCUAAAGGCAAUGAGCUCUGUAGAGGUGGACAGAGUUGUACUCAUGUCACUUUAUACAAACAUCCUCUCCCUGUGGGCCUCCAAAUUAUUUACACAAAAGACCUUUUGACUUAACAGGGAGAACCCAUGCAGGAGAGAUCCCUGUAAAUCCAGCUUUUCCAAAAGGCAAUAUGGGCUUUGGAGACAGGCCAACUAGAGUUGUAAUCCCAGAUCCACCAUUUACCAGCUUCGUGAACUUGGGACAGCUGAAGUGUAUUAGGCAGCAUGGCACAAAUCAGAGAGAGCAGGGCCCGGUGAGAAACUGACAUCAUGCUGCCAUCUUGGCUUCCUCUCAGAUGCACUCUGAGCCCCUGUAAGUGUGCAAGUAGGCAUGCCCAGGGAUUUGGGGCAAAAGAGAUAAGCAGGCAGUACUUCUUGAAAAAGGAGUUACAUUUUUUUUUCAUUCUACAUCGCCAACAUUUUCAUUAUCGUCAUCAUCGUCAUUAUUGCAAUUCUCUGUCCAAGGGUGCUAUGAGAUGCAUCCUAUUUGAACCUCUCCCACUGGAGCUGCGGCAAGGAGAGCCUGCCUGAGUAAACUGCCAGGUACACUACAGGGAACUCGGGGCAUGGAUGCCAAAGAUCCAACGCCAUGGGACCCUGAGGACCCGCUUCUCAUCCUGACCUGGGUGCCAGGGAAGGCAUCCUGGAGGAGGUGGGCCCCCUGCUGAAUCCUACAGGUAGUACCUUAGGGCAGCAACUGUGUCUUUUGGUUCCUGUGUGGACACCGCCUGGCAUGGUAGGCUUGUGAUAAAUAUUUGUAGAAAGAACAGGCGAGGGUUUCCUCUCUUUUGGGUUCUGACUGUUCCUAUGGGAACACUUAAGUUGUGCAUUUGCGAUACACAAGUAAAUACAUAAAUGAAUUCAAAAUGGUUAAAAAAUGAAAAAUUAAAGAGAGGAGAGAUUUCCAGAGUGUGUGCACUUCUGACUGAUGCCCUGGCAUUCUUAAUCAAAAUGAGAAACUCCCCAACGGGUUAUGGCGAGAGGGUGUGAGGCCAAGGUGUAGGGAAUAAAAUGGAACAAUGUGAUCCUCGAGGUGAAGUGAUUUCAAUGGCCUGAGACAACAUUCCCUCCUUGUCUAUUUUGGACCCAUACAUGGGUCUCAGCCCUCAUCUGCAGUGAGUUCCAAUUCUGUGCUCUUGAAGGAGGUGGCGUGAAGCCAAAAGGAAGAAGACGAACAAGGUGAUGGAUGUUACAUCAAGUUUCCCCCUCAUUCUCUUUAAUUUCCUCUCCCAGGCUUUUUCUUGGUUAUACUUAUCUGCCUGUUAUUUUCACCCUUUUAGAAAGAGAGAUUCUCAAUGUUUAUUUUAAAAUAAAAAAGACAAAUGUUUUUCCAUAUUGCUUAUUGGGCGAAGGGAGCAUUUUAUUAUUAGCAUCAUCAAGCAUGUGAUUUCAGAGAAGAUUCUUGGAAUCGGAAAUGUGUUUGGCCGGUCAAUAAUAACUCCCAUCACAGCAAUAUUGUGACCAUAUAUCCCAGAUCUAGAUGUUCUCAGUCAAAGAAAAAAGAAGAGCACAAUAAAUUUUGCAACAUAAUAUGUAAAUCUGAUAGAUAGCUUUUACCUAAUAUUUUUGUUUGUUUCUGUUUCUAAGAAUUUUCCCUGAUGCCGAGUACUAGCUGAGGAGAACGUGGGGUAAUGGGUUAGCUUAGGCUUUCUGGCCUCUUCUUAGAAUUGUGAAUGUUUAGAACUUCAAAACAACAUUUGCUUCCUCUGCCCCAUUUCUCUCCUUUUGUAGAUCAGGAAACUGAGCCUGAAGGACCAAGUGACUUGCUCAAGGUCGUUUGACGUUUAAGAGAGAGAGCUGGGAUAAUAUGUCUCUUGCCUACCAUAAAAGGAUCGUGCCUGAACGUCCUCUCCUCAAGAGAAACAAAGGUUUACUGGCACAGGGUGCACUGGAUCCACUUCGAGAAAAGGCAUAUUGCUGCCACUCAAUCUCUGAAACAAUGAAAAGAAUACAACGAAAGAAGAAAAUCAACAAAAGCUUUGGCUCAACCACAGGUCCAUUUAUGUGUUGUUGGUGGAGGUUGCUGACUUACCAGACUUUGGGCCUGGCUUACCCAGAAGGACUCAUGAGAGGCCAUGUUGAAGUGUCAAGAAAUGAAACAAGAAACAGCACAAACCCUGAGCUACGGUAUCAGUGUGGCAGGAGAAUGUGUGUGUGGAGAGAAUGGCAAGGGUUUGACUUUGCUAGUUUCAUAAUAUCUCAAGAUCAGUGUCUUGCGUGCCAUCGAGGACUAAAUUCAGGGUUUCUGCUGUCUAGAAGCAGUGUGUUCCAUUCC